GGAAUUUUCAGCAAAUAUUUUAUAUGUGCCUCGGUGCAAACAAUAAUAAUAGAUUAAAUAUUAAUCUGCUUCAUUAGAGAGCUUCAAGACAUUACAUUUUCUUUUCUUCAAACACUCUGCUAAUCUAGGAUCACUGAAAUCACAAAUCAUGUCGUUGUAAGAGACUAAUUAGCUAAUUGUAUAGGUGAGGCAUUGAGGUGCAAAGAAAUUUAAUUAUUUCAGUGAAAUUUCACAGUGAGAGGGAGGCAGAACCAAAACUCUUGUAUAAUAAAAAUACUGUAACGUAAUAGCAUAAUCUUUUUUUCGUUAUUUUUUUUUAGUGCUUAUUCAUUUUUAAGAGACACAGGGAGGGGGAGAGAGCGUGCAAGCAAGCUUAAAUGGGGGAGGGGCAGAGAGAGAGGGAGACAGAGAAUCUGAAGCAGGCUCCAGGCUCCAAGCUGUCAGCACAGAGCCCAAUGAGGGGUUCGAACUCACGAACUGUGAGAUCACGACCUGAGCAGAAGUCGGACACUCAACCGACUGAGCCACCCAGGCACCUCUGAAUAGCAUAUUCUUAAAUUUUUUAAAUAAAAUGUUUAGGGUUAGCAGGAGCACACCAACAGGGGGCAGCAGAGACCUCUUCUGCCUGCCGGUAUUUUAUUCCCAGUUUAGGAAUGUAGCUUUUUCUGACAAGGUUUCAAACGUGACAAAGCCUACCAAGGAGGCAGAUUUGUUAUGAUUUCUUGUUGUCUACUAGUGGUGGAUGGCAAAGUGGUAUCUCUGGGGCCUUCUCUUCAUAUUUUAUUGUAAUUAAAUAUGUGCAUCCUAUGUUGCUGGAAUCUUGCUGUCCCACCCAUCAGAGCCCAAUGGAUGACAGGGCCUCUGUUCCUAGGUUAUUACUGAGUUGUGCAGCUGUCUUUUCAGGAAGCUGGCAUUUAAAUCACCAGCACUCAAAUCUGGAUUUUCCACUGAGAAUCCUUUCUAAUAGUCAAUAAAUUAGCCAAAGUAGAGCAAUGAAAGUAGGAAACUGCCAGGAAUUCUCAUUUGCAUUUCCAAGCAAACACCAGCAACCAUAGUCAGGUUGGCUCCAUGGCUUCAAGGUUGGAAAUGGGGAGCAGUUGGGAGGGGAAGAUGAAAGACAAAAUCUGAGUGCUAGUACGAAAGACUAGGCUGAACCAGUUCCCUUCCCUUCCUAUAAGGUGCACUGGAGUCAGUGCAGGCUCCCUCUUCAGGCUCUUUUCCAUGCUUCUGCCCCUUUCCUCCUAUAGUCCUCUCUGCCCUCCCCUGGGUCUCUCAUUUGAGACCUUCCUGUACUUCCCAGAAAAAACUUUGUUUCCACAAAUAAAGGGCCAGUGCCUAUUCAGGCACUUGUCUUCAGCUCCCACUAAAGAAGUCAGUCCUACACCCAGUUCAGCUAUGGAAAUAGGUUUCGUCAACGUUAACCUGCACUUAUCCAGCAACACAGAUUAGUUUUCAGAGACAUCUUUUCCUUUAUGUCCCCUGGAGUCUGAAUUCAACCUGCCAGCUUCAAAGUCACUUUUUAAAAGUCUUGGGGAGGUAGGCCCUUCAUUGGGUAUAGGGGCAGGGAAAGCAUGGGCUGAGAAAUUAAUAUAGAAUGUGCAUGUACACAUAUACACAUAUAUAUUUGCACUUUCUUAAUAUAAAAGUAAAAUGUGUCCUUUAAUAGAUUGACAUACAUAAAAACAAUAUACAGGAGAAAAUUUAAAUCUGAAACUUAACCACCCAUAUACAGCCAUUGUCAAACUAUCUUUAAAAUACUAAAAAUUUGAUUCUCAUACAAAUCUAAAGCACGUGUCAAAGACUUCUCUAACUCAUUAAUGAGGGAAGCAGCAGGGUGAUAAACUGAAUGGAAGUGAAUUUGAGAGGUUGAGGGUACAGACACUGAAAAAACAGUGACAGAAAAUUGCUGGUUUAGAUGAAGAACUGGUUGAUAUCUUACAGAGAAUAUAACUGUAAGCUUUGAGAGCAAAACUGAUUUGAUUUGCUGCUGGAAAAAAUCCUAUUAUCAUGUUACCUCACAGAGUCUAGGUUUUGCUAUUUCAAUAGUAAAUAAUAACUUAAAGGAAUGUCCUAAAAGGGAAUCAGAUAAUCAACGGGUGUGUCUGCUAGACUGUUAUACCAUAUGACGUGGAAAAGAUAUAUAGUCAUUUUUUUUUUGCCUUUUUUCCAAGUUUUGGGCAGUUUUACUUAAUACGCAAUUGUUAUUUUAAUAAAUUUCCUUCCAUUCUUAAGAUUUUUCGAGUGCAUAUAAAAAAAUAAAACACAUACUUAUGCAAAGUGAGGGUUAGCUUGUAUAUAUAAUCAUAUAUAUUUCUUCUUUCACUUAAUAAUGUAUCAAACAUUUUUCAUGUCACUAAAUAUUUUUCAAAAACAAAAUUUUGUAAUGAUUUUUUUCUUUGCUCAAAUUUAUGUGCCAUCAUUUCUUUAACACCCCAUUGUUGAGAACAUAUAAUAUUUUAGUGAAUAUUUUAGUACAUAAAUCUUUAUAUACAUUUCCAAUUGAUUCAUGGAGUUUCUUUCUACUUUUUAGGCCCUCAAUACUUGAGAAAUAGCCUUUAGAAAGAUUGUUUAAUUUACACUCUCAGCAACUGGAUAUGAUUACACUCAUUCCAUCACACCCUUACCAGCAUUGGGUAUUAUGUACUUCUAAACUUUGACAGUUUAGAGAAAAUGAUAUCUUAUUUUGAUUAGCAUUACUUUAUUAGUGCAGUUAUACCUUUUUUCAGAUGUUUAUUGGCCCUCUAUAGCUCUGUUAUAUUUUUAUGCCAAUGAAAUUUCAUAAAAAUGAUCACUAAAGAUAGGCUUAAAGAACAAGAAUACAACAAAGGGAAGCUGGAAGCCUGAGGGCAAUGUAGGGGAAAGGAUAUUGCAGCUGACCCCUGUGGCUGGAAGCAGGACUUACGGCUGUAUGUGUGCAUAUGACAUAUGGUCAUUUGCACGUGACCCUCAGAAGCCCAGGCUAAACCACACUGUAUACCCACUACCAGGGAAGGGAAGAUAGAGCAUUGGUCAGAUUUGUUUCCCAGAUCAAAGAGCCUGGGUCUCCCACUGGCAUCAGCUAAUCUGCUGUAGCUGGGCUGGUUGUAGGUCCAUGUAGGUUUACCGGAUGGCGGAAAAGAACCUGUUAUUUGGAGAACUGCCUGGUGCUCAUCCCCAGGAUCACUGAAAGACAUUGGCAAGGAGUAUUCACUGUGUAACUCUAGUUACACAGAAUCACAAAAUUUAAGAACUGACAUUUUUGUAAGAUCUUCUUUUUUUUUAAUGUUUAUUAUUUCUUUUUUGAGAGAGAGAGAGACAGAGCUACAGCUGCCAAAGAGCAGAGAGGGAGGGAGACACAGAAUCUGAAGCAGGCUCCAGGCUCCACCUUGUCAGCACAGAACCUGAUGCGGGGCUCGAACCCACAAACUGUGAGAUCAUGCAGGAAUCAAACCCACAAACCAUGAGAUCAUGACCUGAGCUGAAGUUGGAUGCUUAACCAACUGAGCCACCCAGGUGCCUUCUUUAAGAUCUUCUGUUCCAUUAUUACAGGUUGUUCCAUUUGCCUGAAUGGGACUUUAUCCUCACUUGCAAAUUCAGAGUCCCAGGUCAAUAGAAAAUUUUCUUCUCUUAGUUUAUAAGUUCAAAAUAGACUUUUUUUUUUUUUAGCUGAAAAGCAUGGAUCUAAGCUUACACCUUCGUUCUAUAGAAUGAGCUUAAAACAAACAAAAACCCCAGCCCAAAAUUACCUAUAGCAGAGCUGGGACUAGAAUUCAUGUCUCCCAGUUUCCCAUCUGACCCUCAUUUGAUCAGCACUGCCUCCCUGCCUGAGGGUAGACAUUACCCAGUCUGGCUCCACAUUUCCCAAAGUUUUAAGAUAAUAGUAACCAGAGCACAUGGGCUCCAACCAGCCAAUCUUGGAAAAUUUUAAAAGUGGUCUCUCACUAACAUUGGUUUUAUAAAACAUACAUGUUUUCUCAGAAAACAGUUUCCUGUAUGCUAGCUGUCACAGAAUCAGUCUUCAUUCGUGGUCCAGCCCCUUUCCUGCCUCCUCUUCUUUACACCUACCCUCCUUAGCUUUACAUAUAUUGACAAUGAGGAAGAAGAAAAAUCCAGUUCAAGCUAAAUAGACUCACUUGGAAAGUCCUGCAUCACAUAGGGAAAGAUCUACACUUUUCUUACCAGAUGUUUCUAUCUCAUAAACCAGUUGGGGUCAAGUUGCUUUAUUUUUUAAACAUAGUGUGUAGAUGUCCAGUGACAUCCCCAAGACCCAGUUGGACUUCAUGAUGCAUCAGUCACGUGUUAAACAUGGCAUGGGAAAGGCUGUAUUUUGUAAUGACAUGCCUGCCUUGACGAGAGAACUUUUCCUGGCCGAGGUAACCAGCACCAGACCACAUGCUGAAAUCAUGUUAAUAAAUUAAGGGCAGAGUUGGAAAGCUAUUAAUACCUAGCAGGCACUUAAAGGCCUAGUUAUCUAUUAACAUUCUUCUCAACUUAAUACACUGAAGUAUUUCACAAAAAAAAAGCAACCCCAACAUUUAGCUUAGUAAAAGAAAAUUAAAAAAAAUUUUUUUACAUUUAUUCAUUUUUGAGAGACAGAGACAGAGCACAAGUGGGGGAGGGGCAGAGAGUGAGGGAGACACAGAAUCCAAAGCAGGCUCCAGGCUCUGAGCUGUCCGCACAGAACCCGACUCGGGGCUCAAACCCACAAACUGCGAGAUCAUGACCUGAGCUGAAGUUGGACACUUAACCGACUGAGCCACCCAGGUGCCCCAGUAAAAGAAAAUUUAAAAAGAAGAAAGAAAACUGGGUUUGGGAAUGGAUAAAAAUGCAACCCCUUUCCAGGAUAGAAAGCUGGUAUCUGAAGCACCAGCUGUUUUUAUCUCAGAAUGUAAAGGGUGAAAACAACUUCCUCAGCUCAUGAGAUCCCAAAGAGCUAUAAUUCUCUCUCCUGUUUUUCUGAAUGUCCAGCUUCCAAAGAGCCUGAGUUCCUAAAAGUGCCACUGAUUGAGUAUCAGUUUAGGAAACCUCAGGGAUACGCCUCCAAUAGAGGGUGAGAAUAACAAAUGCUCUCCUGAGGAUGCUUUUUUUUUGUCUUCCUCUGUAUCCAUCAAAGCCAAUGGUUUCCACUUCCCUUUAUGGACUUGCCUGGUGGUGCUUCUGUGAGUUAGGGUGGGUUCUUGGGAUUCCACAUAGAAGGGGGCCACAUCAUGCCGUGUAACACUUGGCACCUUUAGAGUUUUGUUUCCUUCUCAGUCCCAUGGAUGCCCCUGAGGCCCUGGCAUUGCCUGGUCCAUGUGAAAACUGCUCAGGAUGUUCCCAGUAACAGUGGCGGCAAAGAAGAAAGACUAUACAGUCCUUCAGCACAGGACGAGGUAGGACGAUGAUAGUGUCUGAGAUUCUCACAGCAUUGGAAUAAUACUGGCAGCUGCUGUUCCCUAGUACUAUUUUCCAGGUGCCUUUAUACACAUGACCACAUGUAGUCCUCCUAACAAUCUUAGAUUAUUUAUUUGUACUAAGCAGCUAAUUUCAGAAAAAAUUUAAGGCAGCUAAGAACCCUCUUAAGUUGAUACAGAUGUCUCCAUUUUAAGAUGAAGACACUGAGACUUAGAGAGUUCUAGUAAAUUGCCAGAGGCCAUAUAGUUAGUUGUGACAGAGCCAAUAUUCAAACCCAGCCCCAGGGUCUCUCCCACAAGUAACCCCACACACAUCAUCCCAGGGCAUGUUGUCCCUGACCCAGGAGACCUUGCUGGUGUACAUUUUUGUUACUUUCUGGCAUGUUACUUGGCCUAUUUUUUUUUCUGCAGGUGAUUUGUGCGGAGUCAGAAUGUCUGUAUUGUGGCUGCUGAUUCAUAUGCUUAUGCCUGGCAGGUCACAAACAAAGGGAAGAUUGUGUACCAAGAUGUGGACCCUGUGAUUAUGGGCAUUCAGCCAGAAUUCAAUCAGUCUUUGGUCAUUUAACUGUGAUUCUUUCCAGAAAGUUCCAAAGCAUAUUGUUACCGCACUUGUGAAACCUCUUUAUCUUGUGUGGCAUUUCCCAGCUGCUGCAGAGAUAUAACACAGACCAGAAAGCAUAUUUUCUCCUAAAAAUUUCAUUCUGCCUUUCUUUCUCUUACUGCUACCUGGAAAUGUGUCCUCUCAGCCCACAACAGAUCCAUAACUGUGCCUGCUGCCCGUAAGUAUUCCUGGAAUGUUUCUGGUUUUCCUAAAGGGAAACCACUAAGGAAUGCCCCAGAUUCCAAAUUUGACAUUCAAACCUUGGAAAGUUCAAAUCCUUGUCCUUUAACAUUUUUAAAUUUGAACUUUAUUUCUCUCAGCUCCUGUCCCAUAUUCCACCUACCCUAGUCUCUGCCUCUGUUAAGUUUUCUCUCACUACAUACAGAGAACCAGCUUACCACUGAAUUGGAGAACUGUCCGCUUUUUUUCUGGGCUCUUCUGUACUUUUCGCCAGGUUCCAAGGUGAAGCUGCAAUCAUUCCUUUUGUGCAUUUCUGAUAGAGCCUCUAAAGAGGGAAAUAGUCAUAGGCCAAUGUUUGUAUUACAUUGGCCAGGGUAGGAACCCAGCUAGACAUCCUUGGCCCCUUUACCUAAGAACAGAAACUGAAGAUUUGUUUACAAAUGAAUACCACAGAAUCACAUCUCACUUGGUGUCAGCUUCCACGUGAAAAUCAAAAAUGAUCAAAAUUAACCAUAACAUCGUAACAUACUGCACCACUAUGCCAAGAUAAACAAAGAUAAAAAGGAUUAAAUUUUAAAUAUCAGAGACAAAAUCCAAAGAGUAAAAGAGGAAAUCAUGGGAGAAUUCCUUGACAGUAUUUCUAACUAUGAUUCAUACUCUAAAUUCCAUAAAAGAAAAGAUUAAUAAAUUCAAUUACAUACAAUAACACACUUCUGCAUAAAGAAAAAUAUAAGCAAAGUUCAAAGACAAGCACCAAUUGGAAAAAUAUUUUCAAACCACAACACAGACAAGAUAAUUUCCUAAAUAUUUAAUGUUUUCCCAGAAAUCAUGAAGAAAAAGCCAAUACAGGGCUGCCUGUGUGGCUCAGUCAGUUAAGCGUCAAAUUUUGGCUCAGGUCAUGAUCUCACGAGUUUGAGAUCAUGAGUCCAAGCCCUGAGUUGGGCUCUGUGCUGACAGCUUUGAGCCUGGAGACUGCUUCAGAUUCUGUGUCUCCCUCUCUCUCUGUCCCUCCCCUGCUCAUGCUCCAUCUCUCUCUCUCUUUCAAAAAUAAAUAAACAUUAAAAAAAUUUUAAAAAGAAAAAGAGCCAAUACAAAAGUGGACAAAGGAUGCAAGCAGACAGAUCACAGGAAUAAAAUAUAAAUGGCCCUUUUGUAUAUGAAGAGAUGCUAGGUUUUACUACAAACAGAAGAAAUUCAAAUUAAAAGCUACAAUGAAAUGAAUACCAUUUUAACCUAUCAGAUUGGCAAAAAUAGUUUGACAACAUAUCCAGUUGCAAGCUACGGGAAAAAAACAGGUAGUCUCUUACUUUGCUGAUAGAAAUGUAGACUGGAACAAUCUAAGGAAGGAAAUUUAGCAAUAUUUAUUAAAAUUCCAAAUGCUUAUGCCCUUUGACCCAGCAGCCCCAUUGUGGGAAUUUAUCCUGCAGCAUAGCUUGAACACAUUCAAAAUAAUAUAUUUUCAAGGUUGUUAAUUGCAGCAUUGUUUGUAAUAGCAUAUAAUAUUAGAAAUAAUUCAUGUCCAUCCAUCUAUAGAGUGAAAUUUUGUGUAGUUGUAUAUAUUAAAAAAAAAAGGAAUGAAGACAUUCUCUAUAUGCAGAUAUAGAAAGACCUCCAAUUUGUACUGGUAAGUGAAAGGAAAAUGCAGAAAAAUGUUUGUACAAAGGAGGGUCACAGAAAUAUUCAUAUUUGAUUAUAUUUGCAUAUAAAAACUCUGGAAGAACACACAACCUAACAAUGGCAGUCACCUUUGAUAGUGGUAGGUAGAAACUAGACGGAGGGACAGGGAUAGAAGCAAGAUUCUUUAUCAAAUACAUUUUUUUGUUUCCUUUUUAAAUCAUUUGAAUGUGUUUUCUACUUUUGAAAAAUAAAAAAUUUUAAAAACAUUGCAAAAUACCUUAAAUUGUCCAUAAAGUACAGAACAUGAGGUUUCAUACAUAUGAUCCUAUUCCAUAAUGUUUAUGCAGACUAAGGUUUGAGAACAACUUGACUAAAAUAAGGAACAAAGUUUAAGUUGCUAUGGAGGUGUUAAGUAUUGAAAUCAUUCUCCUUUAACAUGCCUGCCAAACUCCUGGCUGGGAGUGGGUGAGAAUUCUAAAAAGCACCUGCUUGCCUGGAGGGAUUAGACUAAUCUAAUACUAAGCCUCCAGAACAAACCUGUUUGUUGUGAGAAUUAAAGGAAAUGAAGGAGUUCCCAUUUCAAUGCAGGUUGAAGUUUAUGGGUAAGUUAAAUAUGCAGAUGAUGGGACUCCAUGAUAUGGUGGUGAUAUUUUCUAAACUGUGCCAGGCCAGGGUACAUGAUCUGAAAAGUGCAGCUGUACCCAUUGAGACACUAGGAGGUCCUGUCUAACAUCUGUGCUGUCCUAGGGAAUUCUAGGAGUGAUGGUUAACAUCAUGUAUGGUUUUCAGAGUGAGGGAUGUGGAGGUGACCAAAGUCAGAAAUCUUGAAUUACACUACAUUGGUAAUGCCUUUUAUUUAUCUCCCAAGAUGCAGUAUAACACAAAUAACUCAUUGGGCCUACAAAAAAAGGAAAAAAAAACUGAGAAGAAAGAAACAUUGAGAAUGCAUUCCAAUCCACUUAUCACAUCAUUGAAAGGAAAGUGCACUUUGGAGGACAGGAACAUUUUUACAUGGAAACUCAAAGUGAAAGUGAAGUGGCAAAGGCAGAGGAUUAAAACAUGGACCUAUAUGUGUCAUGCCAGGAUGCAGCAUUUACACAGGUGGCCAGCCAUGAAUUAAAGAUACCAGUAUCUUCCAUAUACCUUGGAAUGAUGAAUACCAUGACAGUGCCCAGCACAAUUCCCAUGGCAGCCUCUACUAGUGCAGAUGCCAAUGGAAAAGCUGUGCAGUCGCUAAGCUCCUGCAUGGAUUAGUCACGGGGCCAGGCAGGAGCAGUGAACAAGAGUUCCCACUCAGUGCCUUCGCAGUGGUCUGCCAAGGGAGAGGGACCCCUUCAGAUGCUUUUCUAAAUCAGUUCUAUUGGACAGCCCUGCUCUGGACAAUCCUACUGCAUCUUGACCUGAGAAAAAAAGUGUCAGCAGAAACCCUUUAGCUACUAGGCAUGCUCAAACCUGACCUGGUUCAACAAUGAUCCAUCUUAAGAUGCAGGUGAAAAAACUUCAUACAGUUCUUGAUGCAUAAAGGUAUGUGGCAAUCAAUCAGUAAUUGUAUUGCAGUAGUUUUUGUGAUUUAAACUGCUAAACUCAUUCUUCAAGAUCUAAGGCAAAAGAGGGGAGCAGAAAGCAGGCUGAGAUGUAUAAAGCAUUCAUGUAUUUAUUGAACAAAGUUUUAGGGAGCAACUAAAAGUUGUGGCCAGGCAUUUAAGAAAUGGUGAAAUUAAGUCCCAGAUCCCACCUUGUGAAGCUUAUAAUUGAAUUGAAUUAUAUAUGGUCUUAUGAAAGCAACACAAGUUAAAAAGAUGCAGCCCAGAUGUAGUUCUGUAGAAGGUGAGGAGAAGAUGAUAUCCCAGUUAAUGGUAAGAUCUAAACAAAGGGGCACAAAAGAAAAGCAAUCCCAGGUGGAUGAAAAUGCAGAAGCUAAGGAUGGAGGUCAGAAGAGAUCCAGAUAUUUAUCAGAACAUAGAUAAUUUUGUUUGGCUGGAGGUAGACAAGGGGAGAAAUCUGGAUAGAAAACUGGAAAACUAGCCUGGAUCAGAUCAUAGAUACUCUUAAAUAUAAGUUAACAAGUUCAAGUUUUAUUCUGUCCACAGUGAAGACUUCUGAUGGUUUUUAUCAAAGAAAUUACAUAAUCAGGGAGAUUUACUCUGGUGGAAGGUAUAGCAUGAAUUAACAUGAGAGAUAACAGUUGGAAAGCUACUGAUGGAGUCCAGAGCAGGCUGCCCCAAAAUGUGCCACUCUGACCCUUCUCUGUACACCUCAAAGCAGGAAAUAAAUUUUUCUUAUGAAGGGUGCACUUUCUACACCUGGAGAGUAGAAGGCAUCUUUAUCACCAGAGAGAGAGAAUUCAGGACUGAGAAAACUGUAUAAACAAACCUUGUUACUUCUUCAUUAAUUUGCUACCCCAAGUCCAAACUUUUGUCUUGUUAACUCUUCAUAAAUUUCUUCUAAAAGGUAUAAAAAGCUGCUGACUUUGGUCACUUCUUUGAAUCCAAUAUUUCUAUGAGCUCCCAUACAUGCAAAAUUAAAAUCUUUUUCUCCUGUUAAUCUGUCUUGUUUAAUUAUUUGACCAGCCAAAGAACCUAGCAGGAAAAAAAGGGAAGUUUUCCUCCCCUACACUGCUGUAAUAGUCCAGAGGUGACAAAGGCUUGAGCACCCACAGUGCUGGCAGGAAUAGAAAGAGAUUCAAGCAACAGCCCCUGCCCUCUGACAGGAUGGGGUAGACACGGCAGAAGUCAAAGGUAAGUCUAAGUUUGUACUCAGGUGACUGGGGGAAAGUGGUAACCUUACCAGAAACAGCAACACAGGAGGAGGAGCCUGCUUUCAAAGGAAAGGUGAAUUUGAUUUUAGAUUUAUAGCCUGGUUGUCAGCCAAGGGAUUUACCCAACAGACAGUUAAUUCAGGAUUGGCAAGAGGUCUGGGCUGCAGACAGAUUUAGGAGUCAUGCGUGUAAUUAGUAAUCAGAGCCAUGAGACUGGAUAAAACUCACCAGAGUGUGAAACUGCAGAGAGGGAAUUAAAAGGAAAAUGUAGAAGGGGAGGAGAGAGAUGGAAAGAGAAGAAAAUAAGAAGGAAGGAGAAAGGAAGGAAUGAGUCAAGGACAGCUCAGGGAAGGAGUAGGGGCUGAGGGUAGGAGUAGGGGCAGGAAGCACUAACCGCCUUGAAACUAAGGGUGGAAUGAUGCGGCUCUGUGCACACAGUCAUAGCAGGAGCACCCCCUCAGACACAGCCCAGCUUGCCAGAGGGAAGCGGUUACCAUUAGCAAGAUUCUAAAGGCCCUGAGAUGUCCCUUACUUUAUGCCCCCCCACCCCACUCCCAUACACACCUACUUUAAAACCCUUUCCUCUAUUGGCCUGAAACCACACAAUCAUAUUAACCCUGGCUUGGAUGAAGACGCUCCAAAGCCUCUUGUUUAUGUGCCCCCAAAUCUAGGGGUGCUCAGUGGCCAGAUGGAGCCUGGAGCCCUCUUGGCUCUCCCUGUCCCUUGCUCUUACCACACCCGUAAGGCUACCACAAUGGCAACUGACCAUUCUGACCCAGGUUCUCCUGGUGCCCAAACACCCCACCUCACCCAUCAGUCGGAGCCCGCCAAGGCGGGGCGCCUAGUGCCCACGCGGGAUCAAUGCGUUCCCAGAAACAUUUCUGCUCAGUUCAGCUGACACUUGUCGCUGCCACGAGGAUCCACGAACAGUCUGCUCUUUCGGAGAAAGUCCAAGGGAAUGCAGUCCGUCCCUCCCACCACACCAGCUUGGGGAGGAGGAUCCUUGAGGCUAGGACACCGACCCCAUGUGGGGAGGGGAGGCAAUCAAGCAUGUGGAGGCCCAUGUGCACCCACAUGCACAGGUGCCCUACGCAGAAACCAUGGCUGUUGGGCACACACGGCCAGCGCCAUUGACCUGACCGGGUGGCACCGCCUCCCCUACUUGCUAUGCCAGCUCUGGGCCAAGCAGUGGCCCGCUCUCAGGGACCAGACUGGGUGGUGGUGAGGCCCAGUGGCGGCCACUCCUCGGAGCUGCCCCCAGGACAUCCUUGUGAAGAGCACCCCUGACCUGUCUUUGAGGUCUGUCACCGCAAGGAGAAAAGGGUGGCAUUUAUCCUUGUGCAAAGAGAGUUUAAGUUAAAUAUGUUCAGGCCAUUCGGACUGUUUUCUGCAGUACAUUCAGUAUCUCUUGGGAAGCAUUUUGGUAGGCAACAGAAACUGAAAAUUGUACAUGACAGGAGCCAAAGGAAUACAUUGCAUAAAGAAAAGUGCCUCAAAUAGCUUCAGAUGUUUCUUGAACCCCUUUGUUGAACUUUCAGAAACUCAGAGUAAAUAUUAUGCAAUUCAUUUGUGUUUUAAUGAUGCAAAUGCCAACGAAUGUAUAUUCUGCUUUCAGGAAAUGGAUUUUUCUUCAUCUAGUGCCUGCUCAAUGCAGGUAAAAGGAGUUUAAUUGAAACAGAUACCCGGUUUCCCAAGUGUAGGAAAGGUGUAUCUCCUUCCUUGAGACUGAGCAAGGAGAAAACCUUGGCAGUGUUCAUUUGAGGAUCUUCUCACCAGCAGCCUGGCCUCCCUGAGAAUACUGGACAAAGUAUUUCACUAUUGCAGAAGGGCUGUCCUAAUUUCCGGUGUAUUCAUUUGGUAUGCUCUGUACAGAACAAGGUGGUGGGCUGGACCUAGGAAAUCAAUAAAGAAGAACCUGGAAGGAAUAGCCUGAAGAGCUGGAGCUGCCCAGGAAGAAUGCAGGUGCCCUCACCACUGCAGUCAUGGAGUGCGGUCCUGCAGAGAGAAUGAAGCUACCAAAGAGAACACAGAUACAGGAUGCUCAAAUUAAACAAAACCACAGCAUCAAGAAAUCUUUUUCAUUAGAAAGUUAAAGAGACAUCGAGAAAGCUGCAAAGCAAAUUGGAGAGAUGCCAAGACUUCAGUAGAAAUCACUGAUACAGAUUUCAUACUUAAUGACUUUUCUUUGAGCAAGUGCAAAAGCAAAAAGCAAAAGAACUGUGGUGAACACUGUGAGCCGUUAAGUAUAGUAGGAUGUAUGGUAGGACUCAUAGCAGGACAAAAACAACAUAGGUCAUACAGAAGAGGGUCUGGAAAAAAUACAGAUUAUUCUCAGCCACACUGCAUAGGCUUAUCAUUAGAAGGAAGAACAAGAAAUCAAUAGCAGACCCACUCUAAAAUCUUAACUAUAAAGAUCUUAUUAUAGUAUGGAUUUAGUCAUUCAUUAAAAAAAAAAUCUUUAUAAUGUCAUAACUGAACAAGGCGUGGUGCUAGACAUGGGAGACAUAUAGUUAACAAGACAAAUAUAGACCCUGCCCACAUGGAGUUUAUGAUCCAAUGGAAGAGUUGACAUUAAGUAAACACACAAAUGUCAUCUCAAUCUUUGAUAAGUGCUCCAAAGGAAUACAAAGUGGUCAGUGAAGAUAUUGAGGGCUUUUAGAUUUGAGGGUCAGACAGCUUUCUGAGAGAGCAACAGUAAUGACAUUCCUUAAAGGAUAAGGAGGCAUUACUGGGGAAAGAACAGCAGCUGAUGGUGCUGGGGAAUAGCACACUUGAAGGCUCUGGGGUGGAAAAUGAGGGGUGUGGUCCAAGAGCUGGGAUGUCUUUGCAAGGAGCAUCGUCAGUGGGAUGGAGAGUCUACAUGGGGCAAGGCCAGACCCCCAGACUGUGUGGGCCAUAUUAGCAUCUUGUUUUUUUCCCCCAAAUACAGGGCAAGUCACUGAAGGGCUUUAGGUACACACAAUUGACAUUGAUGUGUUUAUGUUUAUGUUUUAAUGGGUCAAUCCAGUUGCAUUGUGGAACACAAGUUUGAGGGACUUGAAUGGAAAAGGGAAGUCCAUUUGGGAAGUGUUUGACCUGGUCAUUAGAGUAAAGGCUGUGGUGGGCACAACCAAAUAUAAAGAGUCCUGUAUCAGGCCCUAGAAGUCUCAUAUCUCUCUAGGUGCUCUGUAUGCUACAAAGUGGCCCCCAAAUCAUAGGAGUCCAUAUGAAGUAGAAAUCCUCAAGCAGUAAAACUUUUAUUUGGAUUAAAUUUAGCCAAAUGAAAAGAUGUCAAGAAUAACAGAAGUUUGUGAAAAGAAUG
Molecule: long non-coding RNA, 13829 nt
Organism: Acinonyx jubatus (cheetah)
Lineage: Eukaryota; Metazoa; Chordata; Mammalia; Carnivora; Felidae
Exons: 7
Source: RefSeq, a predicted model, not a curated record